RNAcentral lists this long non-coding RNA (2204 nucleotides) under Actinidia chinensis (golden kiwifruit). Its description in RNAcentral is "long non-coding RNA (ACHI_LNC000890)". The record is from RNAcentral. Lineage: Eukaryota; Viridiplantae; Streptophyta; Magnoliopsida; Ericales; Actinidiaceae.
UCCCUUUUGCACCUUAAACAGAACCACUUUAUGUCAUGGUGCACCACUAGUUCUAUUCUAACAAGAUGAGAAUCAUACAGGAUCUUGUUGAAGUAUGUCAGCCGAAACAUCCUGCAGUUCACAGUUUUUCUUGAAAGAAAAAAGGGAUAAAAGAGAAGGAUAAAAAAUUCCUUCAGGACCAUUGCAUACUAUAAUAUCUGAAGGUAUUAGUUUGUGCCACUAUCAAAUCAAACCACUUGUUUUCCCUUUUUCUCUUUAUUUGAGUAUACAAGGAAGGCAACAAAUGAAGUGUUGUACAAGAAACACCCAAAAUGCAACAACAAAAUUAAGUUGCAUGUGAUUUUGCAGUUCACUAUUGUUGCAUAAAUGAUCCUCACCCAGUCCAAUUUGUUCGGUCAUUCCGCAAUUGGGAAGUAGAAGCAGCGUUUACUAAAUGGAGCAAAAAGAAUAUCAUUCUUGUUUCAUAGGUUGAUUAACAAAGGGGCAAAAGGAAGACAAGGAGACAUUGGAUGUCUUUUUUACUAGUAGAUUCGACCAUAGAUAGAUGAUUUGCCAGCUUCAAUUUGCUCAGCAGUGUCUCCCCACUUUUAAAAACCAAUUGCAUGGUUACUUGUUACGAACCCACGGUACAGGGCCAUGUUUACUAAUAAAACAUGAAUUCUAAGAUAUUUCGUGGAAACAUAUAUCGAUUUUGAAUACAUUUUGAAUACAUGAUAAGGAGGAUGGACACUUCAUGGAAGAGCAGUAUCCAUCCUGAAUACAUGUUGGAAUCCAACACCUCAAAUAUACUCAGAGAUAUGUUAAUUGUUAUACAGUUCCUCAAUGUAUCCUAAUUUGAAAAUAAAAAAGUGUAUUUGUGGAACUUCAACAACAGUUUGCAGACACUUUGGGAUACUUCUCGGAUCAUCCCAGAAACAAACUAUGUGGUGAAUGCCCUUUAGUAACAACAAUGUUUGGUCUUCUUGUGAACAUGACCUGCCCACCCCAAACAUAUCACAUAUGUGAACAACAUAAAGCAAAAGCAUGCAAUGGACAAGUUCAUAGGAAAAAAAAAGUAGAACUAGAUAUAUAAGAAAACGAAUGUGGUACAAAAGCACGUGAUAGGAGUUUGCAAUAUGCAAAUGAUAUUUGUCUCUAUCUUCCCCAAUUAUUAAUUCAAACAAUAACAUAUUAACAUGUAUAAUACAUCUAGGUUUACAUAAUUUCCUUACAUAACAUCCAUAAAAUACAUAUUGAUAUGUGAGAUGCUGCCAUGUGCCAGUGCACCACUAUUAUCAGAGGAAAGGUUCCUUUUACCUAUACAAUUUUUUUUUUUGAUAACUAGGUAUCCGGCCCACACAAACCUACUAAUCUAGGAAACCAAUCUCAUUGUACAUUAGCGGGGGUGCCCGACUAAAAACGGUAAAAAGCCCCGUAUGGGCUGGCCGACCUCAGGAAUUGAUGACAAGGAGGCUUCGAACCUGAGACCUUGGAAGAGAGCAAACCUCUUUUAAGUCACCAGCUAGACCACCAGGCCAACCCCUAGGGUUUUUUACCUAUACAAUCUUAAUGUAAAAUCAGAAAACACUUCCCUAAAGGCCUGCUUUCAUGAUCAGAAAACUUUGUCAAAAUUUUGGCAUAUCUUCAGAUUCUUGCCAUACUCCUAUAGUUAUUGAAGUUUCCCUCAACAGUGAUGUUCAAAAGUUCCUUUUUGCCAAACUACAAUUCUUCCAACUUCUCAGGAAAAUAUUUCCAACCCAUCAAGAAAUUCACUGAACGCAAUCUAUACAAAAAAACUGUUCAAUCUCAAUUUAAGGCACUAAGAAAAAAAUAAAGAUCAUCAAUUUCGUAAGAAGAAACUAUCCAGCUUCAACAAUACAAUCAAUAACAUAGUUAACAGACGAAAACCCAAGUACAAUAAUUGAUGAAUAACACAAAAAUCGGAAACAGGUGCUGCAUAUAAACACAAAGAACUAAUUGAGAAAGAGCUUUAAAAGUCGAAACAGCUCACUUACGGGGAGGUGAAAUUGAAAACCAAGAAUCUGGAACCCAAAGAAAUCAACAAUUGCGAGUGAAUUGGAGAGAACGAUUAAACUUUGAAGGAGAAACGAUGAAGGCAAGUACAAUACCAAACAACUAAAACUGAGAGAGAGAGAGAGUAUUGAAUAGGAGAAUCGGAAACGUAGAGACGGUGUUCACCUGGUUUCUACCAACCCGAUUGCUCG